AAACUUUCAACAACGGAUCUCUUGGCUCUGGCAUGGAUGAAGAAGGCAGUGAAAUGCGAUAAGUAAUCUGAACUGCAGAAUUCAGUGAAUCAUCGAAUCUUUGAACGCACAUUGCGCCCGCCAGUAUUUUGGCGGGCAUGCCUGUUCGAGCGUCAUUA
Molecule: ribosomal RNA, 158 nt
Filed under: Fusarium neocosmosporiellum
Lineage: Eukaryota; Fungi; Ascomycota; Sordariomycetes; Hypocreales; Nectriaceae
Description: 5.8S ribosomal RNA
Rfam family: 5.8S ribosomal RNA
About the family: 5.8S ribosomal RNA (5.8S rRNA) is a component of the large subunit of the eukaryotic ribosome. It is transcribed by RNA polymerase I as part of the 45S precursor that also contains 18S and 28S rRNA. Functionally, it is thought that 5.8S rRNA may be involved in ribosome translocation.
Source: RNAcentral